UGGGCUCAUUCAUGCAGCUUUGCUGGAAGGCCCAAGGUGGCCUCAUUCAUACGUCCAGCAGCGGGUGCUGGUUGUUGGCUGGGGCAUUGCGGUUCUGUGGGUGGCCUCUCAACCUCCACAAGCUAGACUGGCCUUGUUACGUGGCAUUCUCAGGGCAGCAUCCAAGAGUUGUAGGCUCAGAAGUCUGAUAAAGUCACUUCCUCUCAUUUUUUGAUCAAAGCAAGUCAAAGACCAGCCUGGAGCCUCCUCAUUCCUCAUUGGCUCCUUGCAGCACAUGCCCGUUCUUGGACCAAUCAUUAGCAGGGGGAUAAGAUUACCCCUAGACCCAUCAGUGCUCUCAAGGACCCGGGGAUGGGGUGUCUUCCCCCAGGCACCUGGGCUGAUUGGGGGGGUGGGGGAGUUGCCAUUGCUAACCACUGUUAAUGUUGGGUGGAAUUCCUUUCCAGGCAUUUUACAGACCCAAAAAAAUGCGAAGGGUCUUCCCAGCCGCCAGGCUUACACUGAGAACACUUUCUGGGAUGUUCUUGGGACUGUGACCUGAAUGGGGACCACGGAUCCUGGGCAAAAUCAUGCAAUGACUUUCCUCUUCCUAGGAGCAGGAAUGUAGACGUGAUGGCAGUGCCAGAGCAGUUACCUUGGACCAUGAGGUGGAAACUGCCGGUUGAAGAUGGAAGAGCAGCUGUAAGAUAGCAAGAAUCUGAGUCCCUGAUACCACGAAGCUGAUGUGGGCUCGGCGAGCUGAGGAGUCAGAAGAAAGAUUUCUUGGAGUCUUAAGGUCUGGUAGUAGUGCUCUUUUAUUCAGAGAAUAGCAUGGCGACAGGACCCAUGGGCAGUGAAGAGCUGCAAUGGAUUGAGGGCAGGGCUAAAUUUAUAAGGUGUAGGUGUAUGAGUUAUCUCUUUACAAGACAAAGGAAAGAUCAUGUAAAAAAGUCAUUAAAAUGGUAUCAGUGCAGGUGGGGUCUGGUUAUUGGGUGGUCCUAUAACUUUGGAUAUGAGUCAGGUCGAAUCAGUUCAGGAUGUCCUAUGCUUCCUGGAGGGUGAUAUAGAUUGACAUGUAGGCCAGGACGCCUUGGGCUUCUCUCCCUGGGGCAGCCUUGAUCCUCAUCAUGAAGUCCUCCCUGAACCCAUUUGGCCUGGAAAUCCUUUGGCGAUAUGGACAAUGGUCAGUCUUCUGUAACUACUCCCGGCCGUACAAGGUCGUAGAGCUGUCCCUAAAUGGGGACCACAGGGGUACAGGCAGGACGUUCAGUGGACUGGAAGGUUGCAUCCAUGGAGUCCAAGGCUGACAAGGUGUACAGAUCCCCUGGAGAUGAGAGAAUCAUUUGAUGAGAGGUGGUCCAGGAGGCGAAACUUUGUUGACAUGUGGAAGACAAUGAAACAGACAACAAAUUAUAAUAGGAAAUACAAGCAAUGUGACUAACCCAAUGAAUGAGGCUUUGAUAGUAGUCCAGAGACCUGGACCUGACCAGGAGUCCAACCAAGCAUUUAGGGACAGGGUGGGGUCAGACAUGGAUUUAAUUUGGUGGCUCAUAUCAGAUAGGAAGCCAGAGAUAUUUUGAUGGUAGUCAGGAAUAUAGACACAACGUUCAGUUUUUGUAAUGGCACAAGUGCCCCCCCGUGCCACCGUCAAGACAUCCAGUGCCGUUUGGUUUUGGAGGACCCCCUUACGCAUUUGGGAUACUUCUAAAUUGAGCAGUGAAAGGCUAUGUUGUGUAUCGUUUAAUGCCUUCAUGCUAAGUUGGCCUAGGGCUUCCAUGUGCCAGAUGACACUUUCAAUUCCUAAUUGGGGAAAGAAAAUUGAGGCAAGGUGAUCACAUCAGUGGAAGACAGAAUGGGUCCAGCGUUGUCACAGCUUGGGUAGGUUAGCAGGAGGAGAUAUAGUAAAUGUAGUUCUGCCUUGCAUCCAGACGAAACCUAGGGUGCAUUGUCCAAGCCAUCUAGGCGGCAGCCAAGGCCAUAGGUUGGAGCCACAUAGCCACUGAGUGCCAUUAGGGGCUAACCAAUGUACGCUGGGCCAUCUAUCCCAGUCAGUCCCAAACCAAUCAGUAUUUCUUAAGGCUAUGAUAUGAGAACACACAUAAUGGGGAAUUUUCCCCAUAGGUUGGGUGCUAUUAGGCCAUAUAUCACAGGUGUGAUUGGUUUGUUCCCAACAUAGUGGCCUUUUGACUGAGUUGACCACUAGUAGGAGUGAGCCAAAUAUAUUCAUCCCAAAUUUGAUAUAGUCCAUCCUGUGUGUAUUGAUAGGUUGGGGACUUUACCUUAGGAAACUCAUUGUUUAUGAUCCACCUGUGACAAGGCAAAUCUAGUUAGAAUUUGGGCAGUAGAGUUGAAGGAAAAGGUUUGAUUGUGGCCAGGGAACUCCCAGGUAUCAGAGACGGAUGGCCACAAGGAGACAUUAUGAUUAGUAACAGAUGAAUCUUGUAGAAGAGAAGAGCUGGAAUCUAAUACCCAUGAAUGUGUACUAUAGCUUCUACUGAAACAAUUUUUCUCUCUAAAAUCACCCUCAUUUUUACAAAAGAUAGCCAAAUUAAGAUUAACUGGUUUGCAAAAUAAGUUUAGUUUCAAUAAAACUUGGUCCAAUUAUUUACAUAAGUGCAGCAAGAAUUGGUCAUAUAGGCUCUUUUAAAUCUGCUUUGCUGGAUUUUUUUAUGAGGAAUCUCAGAUUGAACUUUCAACGCCUCUUGAGGCCAGGAAAGCCAAGCCAAGGACU
Equus asinus (donkey) is the source of this 2710-nucleotide long non-coding RNA. The record is from Ensembl. NCBI's taxonomy places the organism in Eukaryota, Metazoa, Chordata, Mammalia, Perissodactyla, Equidae.